GGUGCUUUGGCGGAGUGGUUAACGCGAUGCCCUGCUAUUAGCGAAGAUCUGAAUCUACUCAGAUUAGCUAAAGCCAGGCAUUUCCUUCGGGAGCGCAGGUUCGAAUCCUGCAGGCAUCG
Molecule: non-coding RNA, 119 nt
Organism: Xylariomycetidae sp. FL0641
Lineage: Eukaryota; Fungi; Ascomycota; Sordariomycetes
Source: the annotation of a GenBank genome assembly